Trichomycterus rosablanca is the source of this 514-nucleotide long non-coding RNA. RefSeq lists it as uncharacterized. The transcript has 3 exons. NCBI's taxonomy places the organism in Eukaryota, Metazoa, Chordata, Actinopteri, Siluriformes, Trichomycteridae. The record is from RefSeq and is a predicted model, not a curated record.
AAGGUGUUGUUGUAACUGUUGGUGUCGGUGUACUAAUUGGAUUAAUUCUCUGGAAGUGGAUAAAAACAAACACAGGAGAACAGGAACUUCUGAAUCCACCACAGGAUGGUGAGAAGCAAACAGGUGAAGGAGAGCGACAGCUUGAGGAUUAAUCACAUCAUCAUCAGACGGACACCGAGUUUGUGAUUCUGAUGCCUGAUGGUGCCGCCUAUUCAAACCACUAGUCCGAAGUCCGGCACAUCUUGAUCCACCACUCAGGAAUCGAGGAAGACGAGCAUCAAGGGCGUCUGAAAGAGCCGAGCCGUUGGGAGGUGCACUCUUAGUGCAGCUCAGAAGCCCAGAUACAGUACAAGAAGAAGGAUUGCAUCAGGAAGGGCAUCUAGCGUAAAUACUGUGACAUGUAGACUGGAAGGAUCCGCUGUGGUGACUCCUAAAUACCGGAGCAGCCGAACAUGCAGUUUACAGUAUAGUUAAAUAUAAAACGUGAUCAAAAAUUUAGCUAAUUCAUUUAUAA